Molecule: ribosomal RNA, 114 nt
Filed under: Frateuria terrea
Lineage: Bacteria; Pseudomonadati; Pseudomonadota; Gammaproteobacteria; Lysobacterales; Rhodanobacteraceae
Also listed under: 10 other names
Source: RNAcentral
CCUGGCGGCCAUAGCGCUGUGGUCCCACCCGAUCCCAUCCCGAACUCGGAAGUGAAACGCAGCCGCGCCGAUGGUAGUGUGGCUUGUCCAUGCAAGAGUAGGUCACCGCCAGGG